AUGUUCACACGCAUUACUCUUUCUCUUUCUCUUUUAAGCCAUAAUUUCUGUGUUUUAAGAUUUCGAGCCACUCUUUCUCCUUUCUUCCCUAAAGCUUAUAAACCGCUUCAUCAGAAAGUUUUAAGAAUUUGUUGUCUGUUUCCAGCCAUGGCAGCAAAUCGUUUUUCCACAAUAGUCGCCAUGCUUUUGGUUGUUUCGGUAGCUCUCGCUUCUCUCCCACCUCCACCUCCAGGUACUUUUGCUUCUGCACCAUAA
Non-coding RNA from Vicia faba (fava bean), 255 nucleotides. The record is from the annotation of a GenBank genome assembly. NCBI's taxonomy places the organism in Eukaryota, Viridiplantae, Streptophyta, Magnoliopsida, Fabales, Fabaceae.